RNAcentral lists this ribosomal RNA (253 nucleotides) under uncultured bacterium. RNAcentral describes it as "partial 16S ribosomal RNA". It matches the Rfam family "Bacterial small subunit ribosomal RNA", at positions 524 to 776 of the family's 1533-position model. The record is from RNAcentral.
UACGUAGGUGGCAAGCGUUGUCCGGAUUUACUGGGCGUAAAGGGCGUGCAGGCGGUUUGUUAAGUGCAGAGUGAAAGCUCCCGGCUCAACUGGGAGAGGUCUUUGCAUACUGGCAAACUCGAGGGAGGCAGAGGAAAGUGGAAUUCCCGGUGUAGUGGUGAUAUGCGUAGAUAUCGGGAGGAACACUUGUGGCGAAGGCGGCUUUCUGGGCCUUACCUGACGCUGAGACGCGAAAGCGUGGGGAGCGAACCGG